This is a non-coding RNA of Malus domestica (apple), 448 nucleotides long. The record is from RefSeq and is a predicted model, not a curated record. NCBI's taxonomy places the organism in Eukaryota, Viridiplantae, Streptophyta, Magnoliopsida, Rosales, Rosaceae.
UGUUUUGCGUUUUGUGCUUUGGUGAGAUAUUUUAUUAGCCUAUGUUAUGUGUUAUGAUCAAGGAUUGCAUUGGGUUUCUUAGUUAAGCGAAACUGGGCUCUUCCUUUUGCUUCCAAUACGUUCUUCCAACCCAGCCCCAAUUCGAAGAAAAUUCUUCAACUGGCUUUGAUUUCAGGUUGUUAUCUUUGCAUACAACUUCCUUGCUGCUAAGUUGGGGCGACGAUCUGAAGUGGAAGGCCUCAUAUUUACAACUAAUACAAAUAGCAAGUAUUGCUUAUCCCAUUUUAUCUUCGAGCUUAAUUCAUCACUUGAUAUGCAGUACUAACUCAGUUGUUCAUCAAUUUGUUUCACUUUUAGGUUUUAUUAUGGUAAGUAAUUCCUCUAUUUUGAGUAUCAUGUAUCUGUUCUUGAUUUCCACUGAAUACAUAUAUUUGUGUUAAAGUAUUAA